CUGUUUGAAUUUGCUGAGGACAAAUAAAAUGGAUAUGUGCAUCAAUACCACCUGCUGUAACAAUCAUACCUUCUCCAGCAAUAACUUCAGUUGAUGCCCCAAUUACUAUAUCAACUUGAUCCAUUAAUAAUGGAUUUCCAGCCUUACCAAUCGCAGCAAUGACACCGUCCUUUACACCGAUAUCCGCUUUAUAUAUACCUGUAUAAUCAACAAUUAACGCAUUUGUCACAACAAGAUCGACAGUCUCACUUCUCGUCGCUAAUGGAUGCUGCCCCAUGCCGUCACGA
RNAcentral lists this small RNA (287 nucleotides) under Metabacillus litoralis. RNAcentral's name for it is "Bacillus litoralis 5' ureB small RNA". It matches the Rfam family "5' ureB small RNA". Lineage: Bacteria; Bacillati; Bacillota; Bacilli; Caryophanales; Bacillaceae. The record is from Rfam by way of RNAcentral.